GCACUGCUUUUGGGCGUCGGCGCGCGGCGCGGAGAGUCCGGCUGCAGCGCCAAAGCACGCACUUUAGCGAAACGGGGGCCACGUGGUCCCCGCGGAGGCGGCCCUUUUAACCGAGACCCAAGA
This is a small nucleolar RNA of Delphinapterus leucas (beluga whale), 123 nucleotides long. Lineage: Eukaryota; Metazoa; Chordata; Mammalia; Artiodactyla; Monodontidae. The record is from Ensembl.